UAUUGCACAAUGGGGGAAACCCUGAUGCAGCGACGCCGCGUGAGUGAAGAAGUAUUUCGGUAUGUAAAGCUCUAUCAGCAGGGAAGAAGAAAGACGAUACCUGAAUAAGAAGCCCCGGCUAACUACGUGCCAGCAGCCGCGGUAAUACGUAGGGGGCAAGCGUUAUCCGGAGUUACUGGGUGUAAAGGGAGCGUAGACGGCAUGGCAAGCCAGAUGUGAAAUACCGGGGCUCAACCCCGGGACUGCAUUUGGAACUGUUAAGCUGGAGUGUCGGAGAGGCAGGCGGAAUUCCUAGUGUAGCGGUGAAAUGCGUAGAUAUUAGGAGGAACACCAGUGGCGAAGGCGGCCUGCUGGACGAUGACUGACGUUGAGGCUCGAAAGCGUGGGGAGCAAACAGG
RNAcentral lists this ribosomal RNA (398 nucleotides) under uncultured bacterium. RNAcentral describes it as "bacterial SSU rRNA". It matches the Rfam family "Bacterial small subunit ribosomal RNA", at positions 362 to 776 of the family's 1533-position model. The record is from RNAcentral.